AGCCACGGCUAACUACGUGCCAGCAGCCGCGGUAAUACGUAGCGUGGCAAGCGUAGUCCGGAAUUAUUGGGCGUAACAGCGCGCGCAGGCGGUCCUUUAAGUCAGAUGUGAAAGCACCACGGCUCAACCGUGGAAGGUCAUUGGACACUGGGGGACUUGAGUGCAGAAGNAGGUCAGUGGAAUNGCCAAGUGUAGCGGUGAAACUGCGUAGAGAUGUGGAGGAACACCAGUGGCGANUGCGACUANCUGGUCUGUAACUGACGCUGAGGCGCGAAAGGNUGGGGAGCAAACAGGAUUAGAUACCCUGGUAGUCCCACG
RNAcentral lists this ribosomal RNA (318 nucleotides) under bacterium T-1-48-1B. RNAcentral describes it as "bacterial SSU rRNA". It matches the Rfam family "Bacterial small subunit ribosomal RNA", at positions 488 to 800 of the family's 1533-position model. The record is from RNAcentral.